This 238-nucleotide unclassified non-coding RNA is filed under the name Hevea brasiliensis (rubber tree). Lineage: Eukaryota; Viridiplantae; Streptophyta; Magnoliopsida; Malpighiales; Euphorbiaceae. The record is from RNAcentral.
GACAAGUAGAGAUUUUUAACUAAAACAGCUUUACUACCUUCUGGUACUUUGAGUUUAGUAGAAGUAGUGGUCAAAUACAUGUCUGUUUCUUUAGGAAAACCACUCACAUAACCCUUGAAUAUCACCUGUUUGUUGCUCACUGUCUCUUCCUCACCUGCCAUCUCUUCUCCACUUCACAACUCUUCAAUCCCUGGUGUGGAUGAUCUUGUUUUGGCCAUCUAUAUAUACCUUCAGAGGU